This 458-nucleotide long non-coding RNA is filed under the name Mus pahari (shrew mouse). RNAcentral's name for it is "lncRNA (MGP_PahariEiJ_G0004535.1)". The record is from RNAcentral. Lineage: Eukaryota; Metazoa; Chordata; Mammalia; Rodentia; Muridae.
AACUGCCUCAACCUAGGAGAGGAAGUGCGCGGCUCAGGAACUACCCAGGGCUGUAGAUUCCCAUCUUCUGGAGGCAGGCAAAGCUGAGUGCAGUGUGUUCGUGUGCCUGUACAGAAUUCUCUUGCCAACCUUUGCAGGGAGAGACAGCAGCCAAAUGCUCAGAAUUAAAGAGUAACCCCCAAAACCUGGAAAAGGGUCUAAGUUAACAAAACCUGGCUGGAAUGGAAGAGCACUGAGUGAAGAGAACCAGCACAGAGAAGCAAACAAAUGACCCCGUAGGGACUACUUAGCAAACUGUGAUCAACAACAACCAAUAACAACCAACAACCGACAACUCCACCUCUCAGGGCCCUUUAUUGUACAUCCUCUGAAAACUUUCCAGAAUUCCAAACAUCACACAAUCGCAAAAAGCGAUCUUCAAGUGUCAAAAUCACACCCCCACCAGAGCUCAAGGAAAA